UUAUAAAAGUAUGUAAUCCUGAACACGCCCGAUCUCGUCUGAUCUCGGAAGCUUAGCAGGGUCGGGCCUGUUUAGUACUUGGAUGGGAGACAGCCUGGGAAUACUGGGUGCUGUAGG
This 117-nucleotide ribosomal RNA is filed under the name Capra hircus (goat). The record is from RNAcentral. Lineage: Eukaryota; Metazoa; Chordata; Mammalia; Artiodactyla; Bovidae.